RNAcentral lists this long non-coding RNA (587 nucleotides) under Homo sapiens (human). RNAcentral's name for it is "non-protein coding lnc-KCNS2-5:4". Lineage: Eukaryota; Metazoa; Chordata; Mammalia; Primates; Hominidae. The record is from RNAcentral.
CUUCUUCUGGUUAGAGGCUCCCAAGAGCAACAGGAAGGCCAGAAUAUGGGAAGCUGAUGAGGAUAGGAAACCCUUAGAAAUCAUACUGAGUCCCUGCUGAACCUCAGAGGCUGCAGGCCAACUGCUGUUCUGAAGUUCUGGACUUGCACAGCAAGCCUGUCUACUGAAUGGCCAUCACGACCCAGAUUUCACAUCUCCAGGUACCUGGGGCUGGAGCGGGGUUUCUUCCUCCCUGUUUGGGCUGCCUGGACUAAGGCUAUAGCCAGAGUCUCCUUCUCUUUAGUGACUGCCAUGUCAACAAGGCAACUGUAGACCUCCCUCAGAGGAGGCAGGUGAAAGAAGACAGCCUUUCGGGGCAACUCUCUGGCUAAUGGGAAGCACAUUGAUGAAGGAAGCCGACUGACUUGAAAAAUCCAGCACCAGCAUGCAGGCUGCCUUUAAGGCUGGAGGAUUAUGGCCACUUGCAAUUUUCUUGCUAAUUAAAGUUUUCAUAGGAAAAGCAAACACAUAUCUACACAUGUAUGUAUGAACUUGCACGCUGAUUGUAUUUCAGAAGCAGUGGGCUGAAUGCUUUGGUUGCUGGCUUU